GACGAACGCUGGCGGCGUGCUUAACACAUGCAAGUCGAACGGAAAGGCCCUGCUUUUGUGGGGUGCUCGAGUGGCGAACGGGUGAGUAACACGUGAGUAACCUGCCCUUGACUUUGGGAUAGCUUCAGGAAACUGGGGCUAAUACCGGAUAGGAGCUCCUGCUGCAUGGUGGGGGUUGGAAAGUUUCGGCGGUUGGGGAUGGACUCGCGGCUUAUCAGCUUGUUGGUGGGGUAGUGGCUUACCAAGGCUUUGACGGGUAGCCGGCCUGAGAGGGUGACCGGCCACAUUGGGACUGAGAUACGGCCCAGACUCCUACGGGAGGCAGCAGUGGGGAAUAUUGCACAAUGGGCGGAAGCCUGAUGCAGCAACGCCGCGUGCGGGAUGACGGCCUUCGGGUUGUAAACCGCUUUCGCCUGUGACGAAGCGUGAGUGACGGUAAUGGGUAAAGAAGCACCGGCUAACUACGUGCCAGCAGCCGCGGUGAUACGUAGGGUGCGAGCGUUGUCCGGAUUUAUUGGGCGUAAAGGGCUCGUAGGUGGUUGAUCGCGUCGGAAGUGUAAUCUGGGGGCUUAACCCUGAGCGUGCUUUCGAUACGGGUUGACUUGAGGAAGGUAGGGGAGAAUGGAAUUCCUGGUGGAGCGGUGGAAUGCGCAGAUAUCAGGAGGAACACCAGUGGCGAAGGCGGUUCUCUGGGCCUUUCCUGACGCUGAGGAGCGAAAGCGUGGGGAGCGAACAGGCUUAGAUACCCUGGUAGUCCACGCUGUAAACGGUGGGUACUAGGUGUGGGGUCCAUUCCACGGGUUCCGUGCCGUAGCUAACGCUUUAAGUACCCCGCCUGGGGAGUACGGCCGCAAGGCUAAAACUCAAAGGAAUUGACGGGGCCCCGCACAAGCGGCGGAGCAUGCGGAUUAAUUCGAUGCAACGCGUAGAACCUUACCUGGGUUUGACAUGGAUCGGGAGCGCUCAGAGAUGGGUGUGCCUCUUUUGGGGUCGGUUCACAGGUGGUGCAUGGCUGUCGUCAGCUCGUGUCGUGAGAUGUUGGGUUAAGUCCCGCAACGAGCGCAACCCUUGUUCACUGUUGCCAGCACGUUAUGGUGGGGACUCAGUGGAGACCGCCGGGGUCAACUCGGAGGAAGGUGGGGAUGACGUCAAGUCAUCAUGCCCCUUAUGUCCAGGGCUUCACGCAUGCUACAAUGGCUGGUACAGAGAGUGGCGAGCCUGUGAGGGUGAGCGAAUCUCGGAAAGCCGGUCUCAGUUCGGAUUGGGGUCUGCAACUCGACCUCAUGAAGUCGGAGUCGCUAGUAAUCGCAGAUCAGCAACGCUGCGGUGAAUACGUUCCCGGGGCU
RNAcentral lists this ribosomal RNA (1346 nucleotides) under uncultured bacterium. RNAcentral describes it as "bacterial SSU rRNA". It matches the Rfam family "Bacterial small subunit ribosomal RNA", at positions 28 to 1381 of the family's 1533-position model. The record is from RNAcentral.